CAAGUGUCUUGUUUCACAGAACUUCCCAUGCCAUCCUAACAAGUGCAGGAUGUCAUUUUUUCCUGUAUCUUAGGCCAAUGGUACAUAUUUUUCUCUCUUUAUCGGCCUUUCUCACUGGUUUGUUUUGCUUGCAUACUAUGCCUCAUAGUAUUAUGACGCUGACCAACACUGGGAAGAAAAGCUCAAGCAGUCUGCACCGCAUGUACCAAACCUUCUGAUGAUCUCAUCUAAUUGUUCUUUAAAAAAAGCACAACAAAACGUGAAAUUGUUGUGACUCAAGAAAAAGAAGAAACUGCUUUGGAGUCUCCUCACUAUUGAUUCUGCUGUCAGUGUGAAUUCCCUGCACCCCUGUGAUCCGGAGACCAUUCAAAUGCUACUGAUUUGGACACUUUCAAGGUUAAGACUCACCCGUUCUCAGACAGAUCUCAUCUUUUGACUGGAACCAGGGUAUGAAAAAGUCAAAAACCUGCAAGAAAGAAAGGAGGAGAAUUACCUUUUCUGAGCUGAUUGAACUGUGACCUAGCAAUGUCAGUAACGAGAGAACUAAGUCAUCACUGCUGCUUCUGCUUGAUUCGGAUUUUAUCUUAACACUUUAGGGAGCUCACGGACCGAGCCUUCAUGCAGGAUUUUGUGGUUUCAAUGAACUGAAAGUAGGGCACUAAAGAUCGUCAGAGUAUUUCUUUGAUGACUGCAGCAGUUCUCACCGCUGCGGCACUGAUCUCCUGUUUUAAACGCUAAGCGAUUGCCAUUAGGCGGGUUCGUACCCUCCUUCCCGUGCAUCCUAUCCUAAGGUUUCACUCCCUCUCUCCGAAUACACAAAUUACCCAACGAGCCGGCGUCCCUACUGCUGCUGCACUUAGGAAAGUGAGAAGCGUUAGGUCUGCAUCCCCGAACCCGCUGUGCGCACAUGACCUCAAAGAACCCCAGAGUUCUCAAAAAAGCACACAGCUACGGGCUUGUGAACACGAUCUUUGUUUUCUCGUGAUUCGGUCCCUCUCCGGUUCUGCCCCUCGCCACAGCUGAUUUCAGUGAACUCCAGAGGGAAAUCACUUGUGGAAGAGGCACAGCAAUUGCUUCAGCUACUGCUGCCUUCUGACUGAAUCGAAAGGUGGUUGGUUUUUUGUUUUUUUUUUUUUAAACCUCGCUCUUCGUGUCUGAUGAGAUUAGUGACAAUAACACCCACGGGAGUGCCACACCUUUAUAGGCUGAGAGGGAAGUACAGAGCACGCUCUUCCUUCGGGGGGAGGUGGGGUGGCAGAGGAUGUAGAAGCUCAGGGUUCCGUGAUUGUUUCGAUGGAGUCAGUAGAGCGGCGAUGCUUACCCUAUGCAGAUGAAGCAGCGUUACCGACGUCCUCAUUUGUUUUAAAAUAUUCUCGCCAUUUCCACUGUCUAGCUGAGGCUUGCUUUGAGAAAUCUGGAAAGCUACCGUGCAUUUUUACUGCUGUUUGUCUCACAGAUUCGCUUCGGCUCCUCUGCAAGUUAAAGAUGCCAUUUGUUUGCUCUCAAAGAUGAAUGCAAUGUCACAUCCCUUCCCUCCGAGGCUGUGGUGCUCCCCCAGCACCGUGGCGUUUCGUGCUGGCGUUGCUCACUGCGGGCUGCCGGUGUUGCUGCGGACAGAUAUGCGUGCAGAUCGAUGGGCGAGCAGCCAGCCCUGCUUGUGCUGAUGUAGUGCUCAGGAGCACCCUCCCCAGAUUUUAAUCCUCUGUGGCUAACUUUUCCUGUUCCUCUGUGGCAAUGCCAGAUAUGCCUGCUAUGACUUGAGGAGGUGGUACUCUUCCUGUUGCACAGAGAACAAAGUCUUUCUGGACUGAGCCGUGGUUCAGUUUUGUCAUCUGUUCUUAAGCUGAACCAUCACCACUUCAUGUUUUUUUUUUUUUUUUUAAUGUGGCAAGUUCAGUAAGAAUUGGGUAACAUGUGACUAAUCUCUAUACCCCAUUUAAAAUCCAUUCGAAAUAGUGUUUUCUGCUUAAUUUCUUCUUGCCACCCCUCCAAAAAUUUGCCAGAUUACCCAAUUUCGUCUCUGUGUCUGGGUGCCACCCACCUCCCUGGUCUACUGAAAAUCCCCAUCCCAUACGGAUUGCUGGUCAUUUCCACAUGACAAUUUACUGAACGUCUUCUUCACGUCCAUACAGACAAAGGAAAAAAAGAGUGAUGUCUGGCGUUAACUUCAUCCCCCUUUUUUUCAAUAUUAAAAUGACUUUAACUGUCAAAGUUUGUUCUGAAGUCUCGUAUGUGACUGGCGCUCAUUCUGCUCAUCUUUCUCUCUUCCCCAUCUAUUUUUCUUCAGAUGGCAACGUUCCCAACUCAACGAAUUUACCAGCCCUCACUCGUCCAAACCCCGGCCUGAGUUGAUGAGUAAAAUAUGAACCAAUUGCCUCGGUUUUAGCACAUUUAACUCUUUGGUUUUGUUUCCACUUCGGGCAGUGACGUGUAUUUUGCAUUCAGCCUCGGCCACGCCACAGCCUGGAAGCUUCUUAUGGCGAACAGAGGUGUGAGGCCUCACUUCAGACGCUCUCCUGAUGCACGGCAGGACUACACUUCUGCUUGUUUCUGCCAGUGCCACUGAAAACCUCUUUCUGUCCCCUUUGUGCCCCCGCCGAGCUCUCUCUGUCAGCGAUUCUCACAGGGCAGAGUCACACGCUAACCCUCUCCUUGUUGAGGGGCCUUCCCUUGAGAAGGUACGCAGUUCCUUCUCCAGACAGCUUCGCAGCCUUCCUUCCCCCCGCACCCCACUUCCCACGCUUCGCUCAGUUUUUCUCUUCGCCCCCGAGCCCGAUGCCGCCCUGCGACUGCGAGUCGCGCCUCAGAGGCGGGGCGGCC
Molecule: long non-coding RNA, 2820 nt
Filed under: Gallus gallus (chicken)
Lineage: Eukaryota; Metazoa; Chordata; Aves; Galliformes; Phasianidae
Description: lncRNA (ENSGALG00010015053.1)
Source: RNAcentral